UGGGGAAUUUUGGACAAUGGGGGAAACCCUGAUCCAGCCAUCCCGCGUGUGCGAUGAAGGCCUUCGGGUUGUAAAGCACUUUUGGCAGGAAAGAGACGUCGCGGGUUAAUACCCCGCGAAACUGACGGUACCUGCAGAAUAAGCACCGGCUAACUACGUGCCAGCAGCCGCGGUAAUACGUAGGGUGCAAGCGUUAAUCGGAAUUACUGGGCGUAAAGCGUGCGCAGGCGGUUCGGAAAGAAAGAUGUGAAAUCCCAGAGCUUAACUUUGGAACUGCAUUUUUAACUACCGGGCUAGAGUGUGUCAGAGGGAGGUGGAAUUCCGCGUGUAGCAGUGAAAUGCGUAGAUAUGCGGAGGAACACCGAUGGCGAAGGCAGCCUCCUGGGAUAACACUGACGCUCAUGCACGAAAGCGUGGGGAGCAAACAGGAUUAGAUACCCUGGUAGUCCACGCCCUAAACGAUGUCAACUAGCUGUUGGGGCCUUCGGGCCUUGGUAGCGCAGCUAACGCGUGAAGUUGACCGCCUGGGGAGUACGGUCGCAAGAUUAAAACUCAAAUGAAUUGAC
Molecule: ribosomal RNA, 566 nt
Filed under: uncultured bacterium
Lineage: Bacteria
Description: partial 16S ribosomal RNA
Rfam family: Bacterial small subunit ribosomal RNA
Source: RNAcentral